AAGAACUAUCACAAGCAGAAUUUAUCUCUAACCUAUGUUGUGAAUCAUAUGAUAUGGUUAAUAUUCUUGCAAGUGCUACUGAUGUUCUUGCUUCCAAGGAACAAGUAAGAAAAAUAAAAUGUUUAAUGAAAAAUAAGAAGCCUCAAGAUCACAAGGAAAUUACCAGCCAUUCCAGUGACCAGAAAGGAAAAUCAUCUCUGCAUAGUGGAGACACAGAAGAAUCCGAUCUGCAGGAUGCAACUGGAGAGCAGUUGCCUGAUGGUAUUGCUGAAGUACCUUUCUACUCUAGUGACUCACAAAAAGGUCAAAGGUAUGAAGACCGAGAUGGCAAUAUCUCCAGUGACAAUGAAAAUGACUCUGAAUCUGAGUCCGAU
RNAcentral lists this unclassified non-coding RNA (374 nucleotides) under Hevea brasiliensis (rubber tree). The record is from RNAcentral. Lineage: Eukaryota; Viridiplantae; Streptophyta; Magnoliopsida; Malpighiales; Euphorbiaceae.